RNAcentral lists this ribosomal RNA (484 nucleotides) under uncultured bacterium. RNAcentral describes it as "partial 16S ribosomal RNA". It matches the Rfam family "Bacterial small subunit ribosomal RNA", at positions 30 to 507 of the family's 1533-position model. The record is from RNAcentral.
AUUGAACGCUGGCGGCAGGCCUAACACAUGCAAGUCGGGCGGAUGAAGGGAGCUUGCUCCUGGAUUCAGCGGCGGACGGGUGAGUAAUGCCUAGGAAUCUGCCUGGUAGUGGGGGAUAACGUCCGGAAACGGGCGCUAAUAUCGCAUACGUCCUGAGGGAGAAAGUGGGGGAUCUUCGGACCUCACGCUAUCAGAUGAGCCUAGGUCGGAUUAGCUAGUUGGUGGGGUAAAGGCCUACCAAGGCGACGAUCCGUAACUGGUCUGAGAGGAUGAUCAGUCACACUGGAACUGAGACACGGUCCAGACUCCUACGGGAGGCAGCAGUGGGGAAUAUUGGACAAUGGGCGAAAGCCUGAUCCAGCCAUGCCGCGUGUGUGAAGAAGGUCUUCGGAUUGUAAAGCACUUUAAGUUGGGAGGAAGGGCAGUAAGUUAAUACCUUGCUGUUUUGACGUUACCAACAGAAUAAGCACCGGCUAACUUCGUG